UUUCAAGCUCCUGUCUGUUCCUUUACUGGGCUUCAUGGUUGGGUCCUUCCUCGACAACCUAGAGACAAAUAGAAUGACCAUGUUCAGGGACAAAUCAGCACUCUACGGAAGAGAACUGGCCGAGGGAGAGAAACCAUCAUGGCCCU
Non-coding RNA from Penaeus vannamei (Pacific white shrimp), 146 nucleotides. NCBI's taxonomy places the organism in Eukaryota, Metazoa, Arthropoda, Malacostraca, Decapoda, Penaeidae. The record is from RefSeq and is a predicted model, not a curated record.